RNAcentral lists this ribosomal RNA (497 nucleotides) under uncultured bacterium. RNAcentral describes it as "partial 16S ribosomal RNA". It matches the Rfam family "Bacterial small subunit ribosomal RNA", at positions 28 to 507 of the family's 1533-position model. The record is from RNAcentral.
GAUGAACGCUGGCGGCGUGCCUAAUACAUGCAAGUCGAGCGAACAGAUGAGGAGCUUGCUCCUCUGACGUUAGCGGCGGACGGGUGAGUAACACGUGGAUAACCUACCUAUAAGACUGGGAUAACUUCGGGAAACCGGAGCUAAUACCGGAUAAUAUAUUGAACCGCAUGGUUCAAUAGUGAAAGACGGUUUUGCUGUCACUUAUAGAUGGAUCCGCGCCGCAUUAGCUAGUUGGUAAGGUAACGGCUUACCAAGGCAACGAUGCGUAGCCGACCUGAGAGGGUGAUCGGCCACACUGGAACUGAGAAACGGUCCAGACUCCUACGGGAGGCAGCAGUAGGGAAUCUUACGCAAUGGGCGAAAGCAUGACGGAGCAACGCCGCGUGAGUGAUGAAGGUCUUCGGAUCGUAAAACUCUGUUAUUAGGGAAGAACAAAUGUGUAAGUAACUAUGCACGUCUUGACGGUACCUAAUCAGAAAGCCACGGCUAACUACGUG